Molecule: long non-coding RNA, 210 nt
Organism: Balaenoptera acutorostrata (minke whale)
Lineage: Eukaryota; Metazoa; Chordata; Mammalia; Artiodactyla; Balaenopteridae
Exons: 3
Source: RefSeq, a predicted model, not a curated record
GGAAGGAAGAAAGCAGGGUAUUCCAAGCAGAGCAGCUGCGUCCAAAAAUCCUUCACUCCCAUAAAACACUGGAACCUGGAAAUGGAUCUGAAUCUGGAUUUCAGGAAACCGAAAUCCCACCAAAACCCAUCAUGAUGGAUGCAGCAAGAACACCGGGGCAACUGACUCAACUCUGAAAGGGAAAUUUGGACACAGAUACACACAAAAGGA